Molecule: transfer RNA, 87 nt
Filed under: Patescibacteria group bacterium
Lineage: Bacteria
Also listed under: 1 other name
Description: tRNA-Leu
Rfam family: tRNA
About the family: Transfer RNA (tRNA) molecules are approximately 80 nucleotides in length. Their secondary structure includes four short double-helical elements and three loops (D, anti-codon, and T loops).
Source: RNAcentral
GCCCAGGUGGCGGAACUGGUAUACGCGCUACCUUGAGGUGGUAGUGGGAGCAAUCCCGUGGAGGUUCGAGUCCUCUCUUGGGCACCA